RNAcentral lists this ribosomal RNA (541 nucleotides) under uncultured Geobacteraceae bacterium. RNAcentral's name for it is "bacterial SSU rRNA". It matches the Rfam family "Bacterial small subunit ribosomal RNA", at positions 9 to 526 of the family's 1533-position model. Lineage: Bacteria; Pseudomonadati; Thermodesulfobacteriota; Desulfuromonadia; Geobacterales; Geobacteraceae. The record is from RNAcentral.
RAGUUUGAUCCUGGCUCAGAACGAACGCUGGCGGCGUGCCUAACACAUGCAAGUCGAACGGAUUUGAGGAGCUUGCUUCUCAAGUUAGUGGCGCMCGGGUGAGUAACGCGUAGAUAACCUGCCCUGGUAUCUGGGAUAACAUCUCGAAAGGGGUGCUAAUACCGGAUAAGCCUACGGAUUCUUCGGAGUCUGCAGGAAAAGGUGGCCUCUAUUUAUAAGCUACCGUAUCAGGAUGGGUCCGCGUACCAUUAGCUAGUUGGUGGGGUAAUGGCCUACCAAGGCGACGAUGGUUAGCUGGUCUGAGAGGAUGAUCAGCCACACUGGAACUGAGACACGGUCCAGACUCCUACGGGAGGCAGCAGUGGGGAAUUUUGCGCAAUGGGGGAAACCCUGACGCAGCAACGCCGCGUGAGUGAUGAAGGCUUUCGGGUCGUAAAGCUCUGUCAGAGGGGAAGAAAUGGGUCGUGCUAAUAUCACGGCCUCUUGACGGUACCCUCAAAGGAAGCACCGGCUAACUCCGUGCCAGCAGCCGCGGUAAUAC